Molecule: unclassified non-coding RNA, 4267 nt
Filed under: Pectinophora gossypiella (pink bollworm)
Lineage: Eukaryota; Metazoa; Arthropoda; Insecta; Lepidoptera; Gelechiidae
Description: kazrin
Source: RNAcentral
GGGCGGCCAGUCGACUCGCUCGCGUCGCUACGUUCGCGUGUUACGGCUACGAGCGUAGCGCACAACUACGCCGAAACUACGCUACGAUAAACUAUUACUGUGACUGUGAAAAUUAUCGACUAACUGUGAGUGGUUUGUGCUAUUGUUGACGUGUGCUCACUCGUGGAAAGUAUCUCCAACAAGAUAAGUUGAGUGGCGUCAAACAGUGCUGAACAAAGGGUUGUGGGGUGCAAAGUGAAAUAAUAGUUGGAAUUAGCACUGCGAGUGUGUGCGGUGUGAGGUGUGUUGUGUGAGGUGCGGGGGGCGAUGCGGGGUGCGGGGUAGCAUGCCUGCGCGUGCCACGGCGGCCUGAUGGCGCUAGUGCGCCGGAUACUAGGCGACGCCCAGGCGAAACUCCGCAAGAUGGUGGACGAGCAAGUGUCAGUGGGGUCUCGCGUGGAGGCCGAGCCGGAACCCGAGCCGGCGGACCCGCUGAUCACACCAGCUAGUGCCGCUCUGAGCAUCGACAACGACCGCACACCACGCCUCCUCAUCGGCACACUCGACAAGAGAAACUCCUCGCUCAAUGGCGAUGGAACGUCUACGCUCAACCGAACGAGAUUGCCCAUAAGAAACGGCAAGGAUAAUCCUUUUAUCGACGACGACAAUAAAGAGAAUCAAGCAAACGGCAAGCUAGAGUCUCCAGUGAAAUGGUCGACACAGAAUGGCAGCGACAGUGGUACUUACGCGGAGAUCGGUACCGGGGCCAACAGCAAUACAAGCGAGAGGAACGUUCUAGAUCCUGCUGACAGUUCCGAAGAGGAAGUACCACUGCCUGACGCGACUUCUCCAGGCCGAAGCAGUGAUGGGCCUGAACCACGGGCAGAUAUCACGGCUACUUUAGAUGGAGGAGCUGCAUCCCCGGGAGGUCGGUCAGAUCGGUCGCGAGCUGAUGAGAUCCCCGCGUCACCAGGCAUGCUCUCCGCAGCACAACUGGCCCGCCGACUCAGAGUCGAGAACGAACGACUACAGGCGGAAUUAACAAGAGUACGGAGGUUGCUGGUGGCAGCCGCGGAGCGUGGUGAGGCGGGCAACGCGCUGAUCGAACGCGCAAAGGGAGACGGUGCGCAAGAGUCGGCGCCCGUCGACCCGCAACAGCUCGAGAAGGAACUGCUACUCGCCAGAGAAGCUGUUAACUCUCUGAAAGCGGAUAAGAAAAGAUUGAAAGCGGAGAGGUUCGACUUGCUCAACCAAAUGAAGCAACUGUACGCCACCCUUGAAGAUAAGGAGAAAGAGCUCCGAGACUUCAUCAGAAAUUACGAGCUGAUGCGAUCGAGGGGCGGCGCGUCGUCAGCGCUGGGCGCGGAGCGUGCUGAGCGCGAACGGGAGCGGGCGGCAUUGCUGAGACACGCGCGGGACGAAGCCGAGCGCUCGUUGCAGCUGGCCGCCGCACUCAGCGCCCGCGACACUCAGCUCAGAUAUGCGCGGGAACAACUGUUUGAGGUUCGAAGACAGCUUCAAGCGACUGGCUGCCUAUCUGAAGGUGAGAGCGUGGCGUCGCUAGGGCUCGGCCCUCCGAUGAUGCUUGGGCCAGCGGGGCUCGUCGGCGACCGUGGUAGCUGCAGCGCCGACUCGGGAGUCAGAGGUUCCUGCUUGUCUACACUCUCACCUGACGUGACAGGUAGCAGCGACGGUGGCGCCACCUCGGUCUGCGGUGGGAACCUGUCGGACUCUACGGCUGAAGGGGCUCCUGCCACGGUCGACUCCUACGACACCGACGCUAUCUCGCUCGUCUCCUCGGCGCAUCAUAUCUAUCAGUUGAGCACUCCUCGUGACUGCAGCCCGACCUUGUCUCCACACAACAGCGCGUCGCCAUUCACCAGGUCUAUUGACGCUGGCUCACUAUCCAGAUCGGUGGAACAGCUGUCAAGUCCAGGUGAAUGCGAGUCGGCGCUGCUAGGAGGGCUGCGGUCUCGCGCGGGCGGCAAGGGCGGUCGCGGCCGCGGGUCCGCUUGGGGUUCCAUUUCCCGUGUGUUCGCUCGCAGCAGACACCGCACCAAGUCUGGCAGCGCCACUGCCAGUGGACAUGAGAGCGAACCAGUAUACGCUGGGACAGGCAGCCAGCGAGCUUGGUCACCUCUAGGCAGCGAGGCAGCCCUGCGCGAAGCAGCAUCGUUGCCGCUGGCGAGGUGGCGUGCGCCCGCUAUCAUCGCCUGGUUGGAGCUGGCACUGGGAAUGCCUCAAUACGCUGCAGCCGUCGCUGACAAUGUCAAGAGUGGGAAAAUCCGUGCUUUGAAUGGGCAGGUUCUGCUCGAGCUGACGGACGCGGACUUGGAGGUGGGGUUGGGGAUCUCGCAGCCGAUGCACAGGAAGAAGCUGCGGCUGGCCAUAGAGGAGCGGAGGCGGCCUGACCUGGUCCGCAACCCGGCCAUAGGCCAGCUGACACACGCCUGGGUCGCGGCUGAAUGGCUCUCUGAUCUGGGCUUAGCACAAUAUGCAGAAUCGUUCCUGGCAAACCUGGUGGACGCUCGAAUGCUGGACACAAUCAGCAAGAAAGAGUUGGAGAAAUACUUGGGCGUCACAAGGAAGUUCCACCAGGCGUCGAUCGUGCAUGGGAUACACCUGCUCAGGAUAAUGAAGUAUGAUAGACAAGCUUUAGCCGUCAGACGGCACCAGUGCGAGAAUGUGGACGCAGAUCCGCUGGUGUGGACCAACCAGAGAUUCAUGCGGUGGGCGCACAAUAUCGACUUGGGAGAAUUCGCUGAAAAUCUUAAAGACAGCGGAGUGCACGGAGGUCUAGUAGUUCUAGAACCUUCUUUCACCGGAGAGACGAUGGCAACUGCUCUAGGCAUUCCACCUUCAAAGAGCAUCAUUAGGAGACACUUGGUCGCCGAGUUCGAUGCCCUCAUCAUCCCAGCAAGGAAUAUGUUUGGUCACCAAAUAAGGAUGUUGGGACGACCAUUCUCAAGAUCUGUUGCCACUGGUUUACCAGGAAUCGACUUGAGUGGUGACUCUAGAAGACACAGUUUAAGGGGUUCAAUAACCCGUGCGCUCGGCGUGCUCAAGCCGAAACAUGACAGGACGUCACCAUCAAGCUCUAGCGAGAGUUCCAGCGUCCUGAGUCUCACCACGCAGCCGUACCAGAUGUCCUACUCACCACCCAUUGGCAUGCGGACGCUAUCUCAACUCAGUAUGACCUACGCCCCGCCGCCUACGCUACAGGAAUACGAGCCUAUAUACACGCCACUCAGCCUAUAUUCACAGUCGAGUGUGUCCACUCGAGAUAGUUUGCAACGCCUCAACGAUAUCAAGGAGAACGUGUCUAUCACUCAUAGAUACGGCCAGAAAGCCGACCACGCACACCGAGUGAGCUCCCCUUUACCAGCGAAAUCGGUGGACGAGUCCAUCGUUAAGCAGAAACGACAUCGACGGGUCAAGAGCAUCGGCGACAUCAACGCCUGUAGCAAAACUUCAGUGUAACGCUAACUUAACAAUAUUGUCAAUUACUUCCACCAAUACCGCUCAAACUCGAACCAAUAUGUACAAAGUUGCAUAUCAAGAUAUUUCAACUAACAUUUUUAAUUGGGUGGUUGACUGCUUUUAUAUUGGUUUUAUGUGAAACGUUUUUUAUCAGCCGCAUUAUUUUUAUUACCAGAUGUCGUGACACUGCUGUUAACAAACAUUUAUAUUAACUUUAUUGAAAAAAAACAUAACUUAUAUAUUAAAUAAAUAAAUAAGUAUUAAGAAAGUUCAUAUACCUAGAUGAAAUGCAAAAGCGUAGACAAAUUAACAUCAGUUUUUAUUAUUUAUUCAUAACCGUUAUUCCUGAGUACUCUAUUUGUUAUUCUGUUUGUACCAUAAACUAUUUGAAAUGAGUCAACUACCCGUUUCGACUGAAUAUUUUGCCUUAUAAUACUCACUCCGUAAGGUUGUAAUAGCAUAAUUUAAAGAUUUAUUUUAUAAUCGACACAGUAUUUUUUCCUCUAACACGCUGUAUAUCGCUACACUGUGAUAUGAUCCACGCAACCCAAUGUAAACUGAUGAGCUUCUCAUUUUUAUAAUUAAAAAAAUAUUAGUCAAUUUAUACGAAAAUCUAGAACAUUAUUAAUAAUUAUUAACGUGUAUUCAUUCCAUCGAGCUUAACAUUUAUUUACUUAUCAAUUAUUUGUUUUUGUAUUAUUCUGUUAUUAUUAUUUUAAUAAAUUGUUUACACAUUUUAAAUUAAAAAUUUGUUCUUUUUUCGAUUUUAAGUUUAAUUAUCGUGAUAUUAUGUUUGUGAUACAUUUGA